GUUUCAAUUCCCCAAUGACAUGUUCAUUAUUUAACCUUCUGUUUUCCCCAUGGUUUUUGUGCGUGAUUGUUAUAUGUAUGUUCGGUCUGUUAUUGUGGGCUCGGUAUUAUGACAUGUAAUUGGAAUAUUUGAGUACAGUUACUUGUGUUACUCAUUUCUGCCGUCCUACGCCUGACUCCUCUGCACCCGCUACACCCAGACCACUACACACCUUGUUUGUCUCAUUCUUCCAACCUAGCUAGUGACUUUAUAAAACACCAUAUUUGGUAUUUGUAUUUUAUAUUAUACCAACAAUAUAGGAAAGCAUCUGGUGGCAAAAUAGCCAAAAACAUAAAAUGAUUAAUUCCUUCAAGGUUUACAAAUACGCCCAAUCAAUAGAACAUUAUGUCAGAAAACAAUAGUCUAAACCCAAUGUCUCUACCAUAUAUGGUUGAAAAGUUACCGAAGAUUUACUCUGAGAAUGUAACCUCACAACACCAAAUAUGGAACACAUACAACAAAGUGCGGUGCAGUCUAAACUAGCAAUGGUCACAGAAAAUUAUCGUUAUUAUUUCAUCAACGCUGUCAAGUACAAGUAUAUUAAUGUUAUAAUAUUGUAGAGAACAAGCUAAUGAUUCAUUCUAUGUAAUUUCUAAUGACAUCAGGCAAAGAAAACAACUUUUAGACAUGAAUUUCGUAGCUCCCUCUUGAAUUGCCCCUUUUUCUCUCUACAUUGUAAGUGAAUACAUAAAAAGAAUAUAUGUCAUUCAUCAGACGCUUUUAUCCAAAGCGACUUAAAAUAAAACCUGCUGUCGUUUAUGUAUGGGUGAAGACGGGAAUCGAACCCACUACCCUGGCGUUGCAAGCGUCAUGCUCUAGCAACUGAGCUACGAAGGAGAACGUCAACGUAAUUCGAAUGAUGACGAGCAAUUUUAACGGAUCCUAAGGGAAUCAUAGAAUUCCAAACUAAUUUCUAGGGCGACACAGUUGGCAAUUUUGUAAAAAAUAAUUUUCGAACGUGUGUUGCCAAGAGACAUCUAACUGACGUUCUAUGGAAGGUUUUCUGUGCGAAAACAACUUCAGUUUGCUGCUGACAAKAAACUUGAUUGAUUUUUGACACCUGAGAAAGAAUAUCGACUGGAAAAUGCCUGGGUGCUUUUCAAAAUUGGCGGAGAGAGUGCGUGGACGUCGGCGGCCUACUGCGUCGACAGGUUGUUCAAAUUCAUUUGUGGCUUGUUUUUCUUGUCUUUUUCUGUUUUGCAGGAUUUGUGAUUGUCGACAGGUGGACAGCGACAACGACUUCGAAGAGGAAACAACUGUCCUGSAUGAGGUCCAGUUGGAUGUGCCAUUGGAUGAUGUGCCAGAUGUUCCACAGCUGCCAGUCCUCCUUGYUGUCCAGAAUGCUGCUAUCAUCCUUGAGAAUGUGCCAGAUGUGCAGACUAUCCUUGAGGAGGCCACUGGCAAUUGGCAGUUGAUUCCGAUUAGGUUCAGCCCC
Long non-coding RNA from Salvelinus sp. IW2-2015, 1474 nucleotides. RefSeq lists it as uncharacterized. The record is from RefSeq and is a predicted model, not a curated record. Lineage: Eukaryota; Metazoa; Chordata; Actinopteri; Salmoniformes; Salmonidae.